CCUACGGGCGGCUGCAGUGGGGAAUAUUGCACAAUGGGGGAAACCCUGAUGCAGCGACGCCGCGUGAGUGAAGAAGUAAUUCGUUACGUAAAGCUCUAUCAGCAGGGAAGAAACACUGACCUUACGGUCAGCAGACGGUACCUGAGUAAGAAGCCCCGGCUAACUACGUGCCAGCAGCCGCGGUAAUACGUCGGGGGCAAGCGUUAUCCGGAUUUACUGGGUGUAAAGGGAGCGUGGACGGUGCACCAAGUCUGGAGGGAAAUGCCGCAGCUUAACUGCGGAACUGCUGUGGAAACUGGUGAACUAGAGUGCGGGAGAGGUAAGCGGAAUGCCUAGUGUAGCGGUGAAAUGCGUAGAUAUUAGGAGGAACACCGGUGGCGAAGGCGGCUUACUGGACCGUAACUGACGUUGAGGCUCGAAAGCGUGGGGAGCAAACAGGAUUAGAUACCCGAGUAGUC
This 458-nucleotide ribosomal RNA is filed under the name uncultured bacterium. RNAcentral describes it as "partial 16S ribosomal RNA". It matches the Rfam family "Bacterial small subunit ribosomal RNA", at positions 338 to 795 of the family's 1533-position model. The record is from RNAcentral.